Molecule: long non-coding RNA, 1665 nt
Filed under: Manihot esculenta (cassava)
Lineage: Eukaryota; Viridiplantae; Streptophyta; Magnoliopsida; Malpighiales; Euphorbiaceae
Description: long non-coding RNA (MESC_LNC002623)
Source: RNAcentral
CCAGCCCAAUCCAUAUAGGGAACAAUUUUGUAAUUGCAGGUUGCAGUGAUUUGUUCUUCUGGCUUGGGGAGGAAGCGUACAGACAGCAGAGGGAGAAGAUGAUACACCGAAAAUGGAGUCUACUAACUGGUCCAGUGGCAAUCUUGGGCGGGAUCGUUGCAACGGUGGUCGUCGCCAACUUAAUCUUCGUUAAGGAUGUAAAGUUCUCUUCUCUUUUCCUUCGAUUUCCAAACCCUAGAUUUUAUAUUUGAGUUUUGGUAUCGGGGGAAUCGAAGGAUGUAUUUUCAUUUAAGAUUUCGAUUGAAAUUAUUCAUUGGAAUGAUUUGCAUUCGGUUUUAUUCGUCAUUCUUAUAUCUAAAUCGUAGGAGACAUCUAAACCUUUUGGCUAUUCGAUCGUGUCUCUGAUCGUAAUCGUAAAAAUUAGAUUUGUUUAACUUAGUUGUGAAUUAAGAAUAACACUUUUUGAAUGAUUGUGGGAGCUAUCAUUCUUUGUUAAAAUAAAGAGCGUCGCUCUCUGUUUAACUUCUGUUCAAAAAAUAUUAAAUGGAAAAACCUGUUCUGUCAUUCUUUAGAUGUUGUUAAUUAUUAGCUAGGUAGUUGAGUUUCUUUGCUGCAAUGAAAGCGCCAGUAGAGCCAGUAAGCAACGUGCACACCUGCUACACAUUUUUUACUUGAACUAAUUUCUUUAGCUGGAUUAUUUCAUAAACUGCUAGUUAUUCAAACCAAAGCUUUUUAUGCAGGGCGUAACCAUACACAUGCUAACACAUUGCGAUAUAUUUGAAAUUUGCAGGACCCAUUUCUUAAACCAAAGAAAAAGAACCAAGAUUCACCACCAUCAACCAAAUAGAACAGAAGCAAAGUGAAUUGCUUAAUGGAUGUGUUGUAAGCUUUUCAGGUGGUUUGUGUUUGUUGAUUAUUUUUCUAGCGAAACAAAUGUUUAAGCUGCAUUUUGGUACAAGGCUCUUCUUAGUUCAAUAAAGUGGAGUUCAUGAUCAAGUUUAGUAAUUUCUCUUCAUUAUGUUCACCAAAUUGCUGUUGUUAAAUCUUGAUUGAGCUACCAUGAGAGCAAGAAAAAGCAAAAUUCAGCUGUUUUUCCUUGUUCAGUAAUGAUAAUUUUUGGGGUAGAUUGCCGAGUAGGAAUACUAUGAAUUUCUGCGUCGUGUUAGCGUAUAUCCACUUUUAAUUCAUCAAGAAUGGUUAUUAAUAAUUGAUAUGGUAAAUUUUAUUCUCUUAAAAAGAAAAAUCUUAGUAUCUUCUGGGUAUAUGAUUCACUGGUAAACGUUAUUAUUAUUAUUAUGAUUGCCUUUCAAUCCUGAGAAAGACUCCAACCCCCCUUUUCAUAGGCUGGAUGUAGCUAUUUCCACUACUCCAUGAUAAGCUUGCGUUUGAAUUAACCUUCACUGCGACAGGUGAUGAGUUGUGACUACGGUUAGGUGUGAAAAAAUAUCUUUCAUUUGACCAUCAAUGCAUGUGAUUUACAUAAAGUUAACACGUAAUUUUUCUGUAUGUUUCAGGGGAAAAUAAUCUAAGGAGUAAUUUUUCCUGAAGAAAAAGGGAAAGAGGUAAAAAUAUGAUGUAUAAACAAUGGUACAAUGAAAUAAUAUGCCCCAAAGAAUCACAAUCUCUCCCUUCACAUAUGCGAACUGCCUGGUGAGACAUUGGCAG